This 875-nucleotide non-coding RNA is filed under the name Bankia sp. TBF03. Lineage: Eukaryota; Metazoa; Mollusca; Bivalvia; Myida; Teredinidae. The record is from RNAcentral.
UGAGUGUUCGUUUCCGGCACUGUGUUAGCUCUUUCUGGGAUUACACAUGUUACUAGAUGGGUGUAGGGAGUUUGGGUUCUGCUUCGUUUCUUUUUAAAUAGAAGGAGGGGGGUAGUGCACAUAUAGAAAUCAGAAUAGGUUCUAUGACUUUGAGAUAAAUCCCCUGCUUCAGUGAUUAGAAUUGGUAUAUUAUUUCAGGAAUGAAUAGCUGGUUAUGAUGGGAAAGAGGGGAAGAUAAUAAAGUGCCAGCAUCUGCGGUUAAACUUUGUCCUCUAGUUAACACGUUCUUGUGGUGGAGUGGCAGGAAAUGGUUAAAGCGAAAUUUUUAUGUUAUACCGGUGAAAUGGGUAGGUAAAAAAUUUUUUGGGCUUUAACUCUGUUAACUCAUAAGGCUGUAAAAGAAACGGGGAUUAGAUACCCCCCUAUUGAUGCUGUAUUAUGAAUCCAUGGGUAGUACGGGCUUCUGCUUAAAAUCUAAGGAAGUUGGCGGUAAUCUCAUAUCAUGUGAGGGGAACUUGGCGGUUAAUUCGAUAUUCCUCGAGGACUUUACCUUCUGUGUACUUAGCCUACCGCCGUUGUCAGUAACUUUUUUGGUAAUGUAGAGGGUUGCUAGGGAUAUAAAGCUUGUUUAUGUUUAUCUAUUCGAAUUCAGGUAAGGGUGUUGGUUGUCAGAAGGGCUUAGCUGAGUUACAAUUAUGUAAUAAGACGGAGACGGGCCUGAAAUGGUGUGUCGAAGGUGUACUUCACAGUAAUGUCUUUGAUUGAGGGGACGUGAAUGUGUUCUGGGUUGUGUACAAAUCGCCCGGCACCCCUGUAUGUAAAAAUCUGGGUAAGUCGUAACAUAGUAAUACUACCAUAAGGUGGUUUUAAAGAAG